Molecule: transfer RNA, 74 nt
Filed under: Lachnospiraceae bacterium
Lineage: Bacteria; Bacillati; Bacillota; Clostridia; Lachnospirales; Lachnospiraceae
Also listed under: 1 other name
Description: tRNA-Met
Rfam family: tRNA
About the family: Transfer RNA (tRNA) molecules are approximately 80 nucleotides in length.
Source: RNAcentral
GGGUCUUUAGCUCAGUUGGUUAGAGCAUCCGGCUCAUAACCGGGCGGUCCCGGGUUCAAGUCCCUGAAGACCCA